Molecule: ribosomal RNA, 488 nt
Filed under: uncultured bacterium
Lineage: Bacteria
Description: partial 16S ribosomal RNA
Rfam family: Bacterial small subunit ribosomal RNA
Source: RNAcentral
GAUGAACGCUGGCGGCGUGCUUAACACAUGCAAGUCGAACGGACAGGCGCUGCUUUUGUGGGUUUCUCGUUUGGCGCACGGGUGAGUAACACGUGAGUAACAUCCCCUUGACUUUGGGGUAACAUCAGGCAAAAGGGGCGCAUACAGCAUAGGAGAUCCUGCUGCGUAGGGGUGGUUGGCAAAUUUCGGCUGUUGGGGCUGUUCUCGCGGCUUAUUCGCUUGGUGGUGUGGUAGUGGCUUACCAAGGCUAUGAUGGGUAGCUGACGUGAGCGUGUGACCGGCCACACUGGAACUGAGACGCGGCCCAGACUCAGAAGGGAGGCAGCAGUAGGGAAUCUUGCGCAAUGGGCGAAAGCCUGACGGAGCAACGCCGCGUGGAUGAAGAAGGCUUUCGGAUCGUAAAACUCUGUUAUUAGGGAAGAAAAAAUAGGUAAGAAACUAGGCUCGGCUUGACGGUACCUAAUGAGAAAGCAACGGCUAACUACGUG